This 1713-nucleotide ribosomal RNA is filed under the name Triticum aestivum (bread wheat). Its description in RNAcentral is "partial small subunit ribosomal RNA". Lineage: Eukaryota; Viridiplantae; Streptophyta; Magnoliopsida; Poales; Poaceae. The record is from RNAcentral.
AUGGCUCAAGCUUUACCAGUGUUUUCGAUGUCUUGCUUCAGAUUACCUCGAGGCCUUUGUGGAAGCAUUACGUCACUCAUUCGUCAGUUUUGGUGGGGGAGCAAGAGAGGCAAGAGGAAACCAUGUUGGGUAGCUUGGGAUUUGAUGACCCGAACGAAAAGUUUGGGAGGACUUGGCUUUCGGGAUAUAGAAAUCUUCAACUUGGCACUUUUGUCUCGGCAAAUUUGGAGAUUAUUGAAUGAUCCCUCCUCUCUUAGUGCACAAAUCCUUAAAGCAUCAUAUUUUCCACAAUGUACAGUCCUUGAAGCUCAACUAGGUCCACAUCCUUCUCAGGUGUGGCGAUCUAUACCUGAUGGGAGAGAUAUUAUCACCCAAGGAGCUAUCCGGCGUAUUGGUGAUGGAACUACCACGAACAUAUGGCAACAUAGUUGGAUCCCAAGGGACGGAAUGAUGAAGCCGGUAGCCUCCUUAGUUGCUGACCCACCGCAACUGGUUUCUGAUCUGAUCGACCACACUAGAGCUGCGUGGCGAGAGGACUUGCUUAGACAGGUGUUCAUACCCAUUGAUGUGGAGGCGAUCUUGCAAAUACCGCUCUGUACACGGCUUGUGGACGAUUUCUGGGCGUGGAAUGAUGAUCCAAGGGGGCGUUUUUCUGUACGGUCAGCUUAUAAGAUGAUUGUCAAGAUCAAGAUUGGGCGCGAGGCAUGGCUGGAGGAAAGGGAGGAUCCUUCCAACUCUGAACAUGAGAUGAGGGGGUGGAACUCGCUAUGGAACAUGUCAGUGCCACCGAAACUGCGCUUUUUCACUUGGCGAUUGGCGCAACACUCACUCCCUACGGGAGAUGUCCUAAACCAUCGUCAUAUGGCCACUACGAGUGCUUGCUCCCUAUGCGGAGGGCAGGAUAGCUGGCGACAUUCUUUGCUGGAGUGUAAUGUGUCUAGGUGUGUGUGGGCACUUUCAGAAGCCGAGAUGGUCGAGCACAUGUGGGCAACCUCAGAACCUGACGCACGGCUGUGGCUCUUUGCCAUGAAUGACUCUCUUCCACCGGAGCAAUUUCAGUUGAUGAUUGUUACUUUAUGGGCGAUUUGGAGUGCAAGACGGAAAGCUAUACAUGAGGAUAUAUACCAGACUCCGUUUGCCACUGACAACUUCAUCAAAGCUUACUUAUCAGACAUAGAGUUUUUGAAGAAGAAGGAGGAAGCACAUGGGAUAGCAGUACCACGACCCCGUACGUGGAUUCCACCACCAACAGAUUACUACAAACUCAAUGUGGACGCGGCCGUGUCACGCCCAGGUACGUUUGCCGCAGUUGGUAUGGUUUGCAGGGAUGAGAGGGGUUUGUUCAUGGGAGCGUCAGCUCUCGUUUUCAGAGGACUGCACAACCCCCAGGUGCUAGAAGCACUAGCUGUUCGGGAGGCAUUAGCACUUUCAGAAGAUCUCUAUAUCAACCAUUUACUUGUUGCCUCUGAUUGCAAGGUGGUGGUAGAUGCAAUCAGACAGGGAAGCUCAGCGGAAUUUGGAGCCAUUGUCGAGGAAAUCAAGGCUAGAGCAACUACCUUUAUUUCAUGUUCGUUUACUCAUGAGUAUAGGACCUCCAAUACGGAGGCCCAUAAUCUCGCAAAGCAUGCGUUAUCUUUAGGGUUCGGCCGACACACUUGGCUAGGACAACCCGGCGAUCUUCUUUUUGUACCUAUGAACAUUAUGAUUCAGUAA